GAUGAACGCUGGCGGCGUGCCUAAUACAUGCAAGUCGAGCGAACGGAUAAGGAGCUUGCUCCUUUGAAGUUAGCGGCGGACGGGUGAGUAACACGUGGGUAACCUACCUAUAAGACUGGAAUAACUUCGGGAAACCGGAGCUAAUGCCGGAUAACAUAUAGAACCGCAUGGUUCUAUAGUGAAAGAUGGUUUUGCUAUCACUUAUAGAUGGACCCGCGCCGUAUUAGCUAGUUGGUAAGGUAAUGGCUUACCAAGGCGACGAUACGUAGCCGACCUGAGAGGGUGAUCGGCCACACUGGAACUGAGACACGGUCCAGACUCCUACGGGAGGCAGCAGUAGGGAAUCUUCCGCAAUGGGCGAAAGCCUGACGGAGCAACGCCGCGUGAGUGAUGAAGGUUUUCGGAUCGUAAAACUCUGUUGUUAGGGAAGAACAAAUUUGUUAGUAACUGAACAAGUCUUGACGGUACCUCACCAGAAAGCCACGGCUAACUACGUGCCAGCCGCCGCAGUAA
This 513-nucleotide ribosomal RNA is filed under the name uncultured bacterium. RNAcentral's name for it is "partial 16S ribosomal RNA". It matches the Rfam family "Bacterial small subunit ribosomal RNA", at positions 28 to 523 of the family's 1533-position model. The record is from RNAcentral.